GGCUGUAAGGAUGAUCUGGCUGUCACAUCUGUCACCCCACUGUUGAUUCAGCUGAUCUGACUGGCUAGACACCUCUCCCCUUCCUCCCUCAGCACUCCAUGGGCAUCCUCCUGAAGCUACACACUCAAAGCAGGCAGCCUUCCCAGAUACAGGAGGACCAUUCUUCGGUCAAGGGUAGAACCUCCACACAAGCUCUCGAGAAAGAGAUACAAAGGAGUCAGUAAUGCUGAACCAUCACUGCUGUUAGUGAUUGGACAUAUUAACAUAAGAUUAUUUUCUCUUCUAUUAGCUACUCUAGAUUACCUUUCUAU
Molecule: small nuclear RNA, 311 nt
Filed under: Heterocephalus glaber (naked mole-rat)
Lineage: Eukaryota; Metazoa; Chordata; Mammalia; Rodentia; Bathyergidae
Description: 7SK RNA
Rfam family: 7SK RNA
About the family: 7SK was discovered as an abundant small nuclear RNA in the mid-70s but a possible function has only recently been suggested. Two independent studies have found that 7SK RNA binds the CDK9/cyclin T complex (known as elongation factor P-TEFb).
Source: Rfam by way of RNAcentral